Molecule: ribosomal RNA, 477 nt
Filed under: uncultured bacterium
Lineage: Bacteria
Description: bacterial SSU rRNA
Rfam family: Bacterial small subunit ribosomal RNA
Source: RNAcentral
UUCGCAAUGCCCGAAAGGGUGACGAAGCGACGCCGCGUGUGGGAAGAAGGCCUUCGGGUUGUAAACCACUGUCGGGAGUUAAGAAAUGCAAGGAUAUGAAUAGUGUCUUUGCUUGACUAAGGCUCCGGAGGAAGCCACGGCUAACUCUGUGCCAGCAGCCGCGGUAAUACAGAGGCGGCAAGCGUUGUUCGGAAUUAUUGGGCGUAAAGAGCACGUAGGCGGCUAUGUAAGUCGGUUGUGAAAGCCUUCCGCUCAACGGGAGAACAGCAUCCGAUACUACAUGGCUUGAGUGCGGGAGGGGAGAGUGGAACUUCUGGUGGAGCGGUGAAAUGCGUAGAUAUCAGAAGGAACGCCGGCGGCGAAAGCGGCUCUCUGGCCCGUAACUGACGCUGAGUGUGCGAAAGCUAGGGGAGCAAACGGGAUUAGAUACCCCGGUAGUCCUAGCCGUAAACGAUGGGCACUAAGUAGAGGGGUUUU